GAAACGUCACAAAGCGGCAGGUAGAACGCCGAAACAGCUGCGCAUUACCACCUAUAUACCGCAAAGCGUAACCCGCGUAACCGAAUAAAUUGUGUCCUAUGCUCCCACGCUCUCCGAACAUGUCGAGAAAGAGGAGUACGGCGAGCUCUGCAACGCUUGCAACCCCUGCCGUUGUACAGAGCAGUGACUGUCUUUACCCAGUCGAAUCACCACUGUCUGUUGCAUGCACACGCACGCUUUGCGCUGAUUUGCGCGUAGUCGGUCACAUGACUUAACGACGUGGUCUUAUUGGAUCUCUUCGCCCUUCUUUGCAAGCUCGGAAUGCCUGAAGGCUUGCAAAGGUUGCUGGGUUGGUGUGCUCCACGCUCUCACACGCUCAGUUCGCGCGCUCUCUUUGAACGUGGUGGUUGUAUCGUUGUGCCAUGUGCUCAUGAGUUCCAGGGUGAGCGUUGGUCAGCUCCAGGUGAACGUUUUUGUCAUGCGCUUUGGAGCUCCAUUUCUGCGGCGCCUGUACGUCUUACGCCUAUCAAGAGCCAUGCUGUGUUCCUGCCAUGAGCCUGGUGUCACUUUGAGUCGACAUCAUUCUUCGUUGAUGACCAGCACAGAAACAAGCCCACGGAAAUCUGCUAACCUUCUUAGUACCUCUGGUCUCAGCAAUGUAUUUUCUUGUUUGCGACCACUGGAACCGAUCCUUCAGGAUUACUAGUAAAUUGUGUAGCGUACCCCGGAUCUCUUCUGUUCUGCAUCUGAAACUAUGGACGAAAGACUUCACCCAGCGUGUGGCGACUUCCUUAUGGGCUGAUAUACCUGUGAACUCUGGGUUACUUUUUGUCUCUGGGACUGUUCAAGCAAGCCCACAGAAAUGCCCCACUAAAUUUCUUAGUACACGUGAACUGCAAUGUAGUUGUCUUCGACCGCUGAGCCAGCCUGCAGUGAGCCUUAGUAAAAUGUUUAGUCGCCAAGAUACCUGCAAUCUUUUCACAAGUAUUUGUAUCUGCUGCCAUGGAAUAACAGCCACGCUCUGCCUCUGGUAACUUCCAUCGAGGCUGUCUGACACCCGUGAAUUUUUAGGAUGAAAUUGUGUUUUUGUGUGGCCGCUGAAGCAAGCCCACACAAAUCCUCUAUUAGCUUUUCAUAUGAGUGAACUCAUAUAAUGCUGAAGCGAUCAUGCUGCAAGCUUUUAGUUAAUUGUGUAAUCGCCAGGGUACCUGUGACGUUUCAGCAAUAUUUGGCUGUGGCCACGGAGAGGUCACAUUCAGCUUCUGUUUACUUGCUUAGAGGCCUUCAAGCCUCUAAGCAAGUAAACAGAAGCAGAAGAAACAGAAACACAAAUUCACUUAUGGUGAAUUUAUGUUUGUGACCACUCAAGUGCAGCAAGUGUCUUGUAACUCUAGUACUUGUGACAUCAGUUUGGUAUUGUGUUGAAGCAAGUGUCUUGUAACUGCUUUUGUAUCUGUGAACUCUCCAGUAAUGUUCGUGUUUGCAACUGCUUAAGUGAUCCUUGAGUAAUUUUUUUUAAUGCCCAGUGUGUCUAUAAAAUAUGUAGUACUUCUACUGUGUGCAACCGCUGAAGGAGGCCUGCAGAAAGUGGAGUAGCUUCCGUCAUGGCUAAGACACCUCUGAACUUUCCAGUAAAUAUUGUAUUUAUGGGCCCGCGACCGUUGAAGUGAGCCAGCCCACAGUAGCCCUCCUACUAACUUCCUUUGUACCCCCCACCCUUGCAUAGGGCUUUUGAAGUUCUUUUACUGGCCGAGGUGCAUCUGCGAAUUAUUAGCUCAACUGAAAUGGUCUUGUCACUACACACGAAAGUGUCGAUGUUUGCUCUGGUUACCUUUGCCAGAACUUGUUAUGGAUGCACAGUGCAUUUGCUCUACACUCUAAGAACAGUUGCACCCUUUGGGGUGUAAAUUUGCGACAGAACAAUAAUCGUCAUCUGUCUUACUUGCCUUUCCUUUCUUGAAAACCCUGCGCUCAUUACUUUCCUGUCGAGAAUGCUCUGUCAUGCUGAUAAUGCGCAUGCCGUUCGUGACAUGGAAGUACUGGGCUUGCAGCGUUAAAGAAAGGAAAUGCAGGCAAGUCAGAUGACGAUUAUUGUUCUGUGGAAAAUAUACACCCCAAAGGGUGCAACUGUUUUUAGAGUGUAAAUGGAUGAUCAUACAGCAGCUGUUUGUCUAUAUAUGACCACUGAACUAGCCUCGAGUAAUUUUGUUAAUUGCCUAAUGUAGUUGUGACAUCUUAAUUUAGCAUACCUCGUGUUUGUGUAUGUAACUACUGAAUAUGGCCUAGGGAAAGGCUCUGGCAACUUAAAGUGGCUAACAUAUCUAAACAUUUCAGCAAAUUUUUCAUUGAUGUGCCUGCGACCACGACAGUGAGCCCACAGCAAGCCUUGUGAUAAGUUCCAUAGUGGCCCCACUGCGAAUUCUUAAAUUUUCUUGCUACCCAAAGUGCAUUUGUAAAGAGUUUGAAUAAUGUGCACGUUUACUAACCAUGGUGCGGUAUAAAUAACUCCUAAUAGCUGAACUUGUAUGAUGAAAUUAUCGAGUUUUAUUUGCAUUGAUGGGUUUUACUAAAAACUGUUAGUGCAUUUUAGAGUUCAACGAGUGAUCUUCCUGCAACUGUUCUAUUGAAAUAAAUGCUGUAUUUUUAAUGAGAUUGUCAAAUGAUUCAGCAGCCUGCAGAACUUAGUUCUGUAGCUUCGUCCCUGUUAGCACAAAGAAGUAUAGGUUGCAUGUCUAUAUGUUUUGAAUUAAUGCAUUUUUAUCAAGUUGUAUGUAAUGUAUUUGCUUAGCGUAGCAGGGAACCAUGUGCACAAUGCUUAGUUGCACUGCAGCCUUCAUUUAACGUGCUUUGAGAUGCGGUGGGCUGCAUUCCUGGCUUAUCUCCUGGUACUUCAGCUUUUGCAUGACAAAAAUAUUUGGUUGACUUAUUGGAUUCCUGGAUUUUUUUGUGUUGCUCUGGUAUACACUGACGCCAUGAAUGCUUAACCAAUUUUCUCUGCUUGCAUAUAACUUACUAUUUAUAGAUGUGAAUUUCAAGGCUGUAUUAUUUGUAUCAUUUUAUACUAUUCACUUUCUGUAAUAUAAUUUCUUGCAGCAUUCUAUUGUUCAUUUUUUACCCUUAUGCAUUUCUGUUAUACAAUGUUCACUAAUGUUCACCUUUUUUUUCUCGUUUAUCCAUUAUGUUAUGUUUGUGUUCUCUUUAUUGUGCACGGUGCCAUUUCUGUAGGGGGUACAGACCUUGUCAAGCCGAAUUCAUUUGGCUUUUUGUCUGUACUCCUGUCAUCUGUACAUGUAUAGAUGCAAAAUAAACUUGAAUUGAAAUUCACCGCUGGGAUGGAUCUUCAAGA
Non-coding RNA from Dermacentor albipictus, 3346 nucleotides. NCBI's taxonomy places the organism in Eukaryota, Metazoa, Arthropoda, Arachnida, Ixodida, Ixodidae. The record is from RefSeq and is a predicted model, not a curated record.